Biomphalaria glabrata is the source of this 1502-nucleotide long non-coding RNA. RefSeq lists it as uncharacterized. NCBI's taxonomy places the organism in Eukaryota, Metazoa, Mollusca, Gastropoda, Planorbidae. The record is from RefSeq and is a predicted model, not a curated record. The transcript is spliced from 2 exons.
GUCUGUGAUUUAGCCUCAUCCUUAAAAAAAAAAUUCGUUUUUAUAAUAAUAUUAUAACAAUAGUGUAGCAAGAUAAGUAUGUAUAUAUAUUUAUUUAAAAAGUCAAAGUAGCAAGAAUGCUAAUAAUAAAUAGAUUUGAAAGCUUUGAGGAAAUGCGAUCUACCAGGCUUUGAUUCUAGAUCAGGGGUGGGCAACCUUUUUGUAUUGAGGGCCGCAUUUUUUAAAAAUUGGGAAUGGCUAGCCGCAUAUUUAUAUACAACUUAUAGUUAUAGAGACACUCUAAGCUAACUGUGUAGAAUGUCUUUUAAUUCAUAUUUACACUGUAUUAUAUCCUGACAAAUAUACAGUUGUACUUAAUGUACAGUAUUUUACUUUCUACACUCAUGCAUAAUGUUCGGAACUAUGGAACUAGCUUUUAUCCUUGUGACUGCUGUCAAAUUACAGUCAGUCAAAAUUGACCAGUAGCAAUGCUUGUUUAGUUUCCACAAAGGAAAAGGCUUGUUCACUGAAUGAGACAAUAUAUGUUCCAGAAGUUAAAUGUCGGGACGAGAGAAACUUGCCCAUCACCAGAGAAUGCUGACCAUGUCCUUCAAUGGUGCAUUCUAAAUCAAGAGACCCGAACAAGACUUUGGCCCGAAAACCCUCCUAUAGAACCAAAACUAUUCAGAUAUACGAUUACUGAUUUGAACUCUCCAACAUGUAAAAUGAGAACGAAGAAGAACAGAUGUAUGUGUACACAAAUAGUGUGAAUAGCAGCAAUAGUAUUUUAAGUGUGGAAAUACAGCUUCUGGCAUUCAUAAGACACCAUGGUAGUACUGACUGGAACUUCUCUUUGCUUGGAAAUAUGUCCUCUGGAGCUGAAUCAGCUUCUGCGCUAAAUGACUGUUGUGACACAGUUACUAUAUGGCAUGUGUGGCAAACCGUUACACAUGGUCAAGUGUGUGUACCUGGACAGUUAGUGGACUGGAGAGCCAGUCACGAGUGUGUGUUGUCAACAAUGAGAAAGAAAACAUCUAAUGGACUCAUUUGUGUCGAAUGUUAACCUUAUGUACACAUAUUGUUAUUAAAUUCUUUGCAAAUAAAGACUUAAAGGAACUUCUAUCAUCACAAACAGGUUAUUGAAAUCUUUCAAUUUUCCUUUAAUAAAUGAAACAAUAUUUCAUUAUGAGAUCAUUUUUAUAAAAUGAAAAUCCGGAUAAACAAAAAGGUUGAAAAAAGAAACUAAAUAUCUUUAAAAUAGAUUUGGACAUAAUUUAAAGUUAGGUAUAAGGUACACAUAAAUUAUAAGGCACUGUAUCAUUGACUCUGCAUUUAUAAUAUCAAUUCUGUGUUGUUCAUAAGUUGACAGAAAAACAAGAAUAAAAGUUUGAAAUACUUAAAUGUACAGAAAUAAAAAUCAACAUUAGGACAUGAUUACAUGCAUAUAUUAUUGAGAUACUGGUAUUUAAAUUUUUUUGGGUAAUACAAUGUACUUUUUGUCUUUAAUUUAAAAAAAAAAUAAA